This 117-nucleotide small nuclear RNA is filed under the name Tupaia belangeri chinensis (Chinese tree shrew). RNAcentral's name for it is "Tupaia chinensis (Chinese tree shrew) U5 spliceosomal RNA". It matches the Rfam family "U5 spliceosomal RNA". From Rfam's summary of the family: U5 RNA is a component of both types of known spliceosome. The record is from Rfam by way of RNAcentral. Lineage: Eukaryota; Metazoa; Chordata; Mammalia; Scandentia; Tupaiidae.
AUACUCUGGUUUCUCUUCAGAUCACAUAAAUAUUUCACUUUUUUCUAAAGAUUUCCAUGGAGAGGAACAAUUCUGAGUCUUUACUCAAUUUUUUGAGGCCUUGGCAUUGCCAGGGCU